GUUUGCACUCAUCGGGGAAGGGUGAGAACCUUCGACUAAGGUUCGAUUCGAGCGAAAGCGAGAGAACGUUGCCACAGGCAACGGCCCUAAGGGUGAGGAGCGAAGCGACGAAUAAUCCUUCCCCCACCACCA
This 132-nucleotide small RNA is filed under the name Escherichia coli. RNAcentral's name for it is "RtT sRNA". It matches the Rfam family "RtT RNA". Rfam says of the family: This family represents a bacterial cis-regulatory element known as RtT RNA. The exact function of RtT is unknown although it is thought that it may be involved in changing the cellular response in relation to amino acid starvation. The record is from RNAcentral. Lineage: Bacteria; Pseudomonadati; Pseudomonadota; Gammaproteobacteria; Enterobacterales; Enterobacteriaceae. RNAcentral also lists the same sequence under 1 other name.